Transfer RNA from Trichosporon asahii var. asahii CBS 8904, 110 nucleotides. It matches the Rfam family "tRNA". From Rfam's summary of the family: Transfer RNA (tRNA) molecules are approximately 80 nucleotides in length. Their secondary structure includes four short double-helical elements and three loops (D, anti-codon, and T loops). Further hydrogen bonds mediate the characteristic L-shaped molecular structure. tRNAs have two regions of fundamental functional importance: the anti-codon, which is responsible for specific mRNA codon recognition, and the 3' end, to which the tRNAs corresponding amino acid is attached (by aminoacyl-tRNA synthetases). tRNAs cope with the degeneracy of the genetic code in two manners: having more than one tRNA (with a specific anti-codon) for a particular amino acid; and 'wobble' base-pairing, i.e. permitting non-standard base-pairing at the 3rd anti-codon position. The record is from Rfam. Lineage: Eukaryota; Fungi; Basidiomycota; Tremellomycetes; Trichosporonales; Trichosporonaceae.
GGUCUGAUCGUAUAACGGUUAGUACACAAGAUUCUGAUUCUCACUCCUCGUCUCUCAACACGAGCUGCGGUGUCGUUCUUGUAAUCUGGGUUCGAUUCCCAGUCGGACCU